GACGUAGGGGGCCAGCGUUGCUCGGAAUUACUGGGCGUAAAGGGUUCGUAGGCGGUGCGGCAAGUUGGGAGUGAAAUCCCCGGGCUUAACCCAGAGGCUGCUUCCAAAACUGCCGUGCUAGAGUGCGAGAGAGGCCAGUGGAAUUGCAGGUGUAGCGGUGAAAUGCGUAGAUAUCUGCAGGAACACCCGUGGCGAAAGCGGCGCGCUGGACCACAACUGACGCUGAGGAACGAAAGCUAGGGAAGCAAACAGG
Molecule: ribosomal RNA, 253 nt
Filed under: uncultured bacterium
Lineage: Bacteria
Description: partial 16S ribosomal RNA
Rfam family: Bacterial small subunit ribosomal RNA
Source: RNAcentral